AAGUCGUAACAAGGUUUCCGUAGGUGAACCUGCGGAAGGAUCAUUAAUGAACAAGUACGCGUGGGAGGGUUGUGCUGGCGCGUCCGCGCGCACGUGCACGCCCGCCCAUGUCGUCCGUCCACUCACACCCGUGCACUUUGCUCGUCGGACGAGGGCCCCCAGCGCCUUUGGCCGACGCACAUUCACACAACCUGUCUUAACCGUAUGUCAAUUGCGUAAACGCAACCGAAAUACAA
This 236-nucleotide unclassified non-coding RNA is filed under the name plant metagenome. RNAcentral describes it as "partial contains small subunit ribosomal RNA and internal transcribed spacer 1". The stretch from base 1 to 46 matches the Rfam family "Eukaryotic small subunit ribosomal RNA", at positions 1786 to 1831 of the family's 1831-position model. The record is from RNAcentral.